AUUGCCCUACGGGACGCAGCAGUGAGGAAUAUUGGUCAAUGGGCGGAAGCCUGAACCAGCCAAGUCGCGUGAGGGAAUAAGGCCCUACGGGUCGUAAACCUCUUUUGCCGGGGAGCAAGGGCCGGGACGCGUCCCGGCCCGGAGAGUACCCGGAGAAAAAGCAUCGGCUAACUCCGUGCCAGCAGCCGCGGUAAUACGGAGGAUGCGAGCGUUAUCCGGAUUUAUUGGGUUUAAAGGGUGCGCAGGCGGGCUUUUAA
Molecule: ribosomal RNA, 257 nt
Filed under: uncultured bacterium
Lineage: Bacteria
Description: partial 16S ribosomal RNA
Rfam family: Bacterial small subunit ribosomal RNA
Source: RNAcentral